Suncus etruscus (white-toothed pygmy shrew) is the source of this 513-nucleotide long non-coding RNA. RefSeq lists it as uncharacterized. NCBI's taxonomy places the organism in Eukaryota, Metazoa, Chordata, Mammalia, Eulipotyphla, Soricidae. The record is from RefSeq and is a predicted model, not a curated record. The transcript is spliced from 3 exons.
AUCAUCUCCUUGGGACAGGACAUUGCCAGGUGAAGCCUGAAUUGAUCUCUUGGCUGGAAACUGAAGGCCUGGGGAGGCUGCACAGAGAAGUGUUUGUAGAAUGCAGACCUCAAGUUCAGGAUUUCGCCUUCCAGCAAAUUACUUGUGGAACAGAAUCGCCAAGUUGGAGUGAGAUGGGAAGCAUCCAGCCUCAGUGGGACUGGGGUGAUCCUUUGCUGUGGGACACAGACUGGAGGGAACCAUCCUGGUCGCAUCCUGAUGGGAGUGAGGACUCUGGGGGUUUCUCUUCUGGAGAGGGGCAGAGUGAAGAGAGCAUCCUCAAUAUGGAGCCCCAAUCCUCUGGGGAAAGCACCCCUAAAUCUGUUCCUCACAGUCAUUGGAUAAGGACCACUGUGGCUGAACCAAUCUGGGAUAAGAAAGCAGCAGUUUUUGCUCCAAGCUCCUCACUGCAACAUGCUCUCAAGCACAUUCCCCAUGGCGUGGAGCCACUCGAGUGUAAGAAAUGUCGGGGGA